CGUAACAAGGUCUCCGUAGGUGAACCUGCGGAGGGAUCAUUACACAAAUAUGAAAGCGGGCUGGAACCUCUCGGGGUUACAGCCUUGCUGAAUUAUUCACCCUUGUCUUUUGCGUACUUCUUGUUUCCUUGGUGGGUUCGCCCACCACUAGGACAAACAUAAACCUUUUGUAAUUGCAAUCAGCGUCAGUAACAAAUUAAUAAUUACAACUUUCAACAACGGAUCUCUUGGUUCUGGCAUCGAUGAAGAACGCAGCGAAAUGCGAUAAGUAGUGUGAAUUGCAGAAUUCAGUGAAUCAUCGAAUCUUUGAACGCACAUUGCGCCCUUUGGUAUUCCAAAGGGCAUGCCUGUUCGAGCGUCAUUUGUACCCUCAAGCUUUGCUUGGUGUUGGGCGUCUUGUCUCUAGCUUUGCUGGAGACUCGCCUUAAAGUAAUUGGCAGCCGGCCUACUGGUUUCGGAGCGCAGCACAAGUCGCACUCUCUAUCAGCAAAGGUCUAGCAUCCAUUAAGCCUUUUUUCAACUUUUGACCUCGGAUCAGGUAGGGAUACCCGCUGAACUUA
Molecule: ribosomal RNA, 560 nt
Filed under: uncultured fungus
Lineage: Eukaryota; Fungi
Description: eukaryotic LSU rRNA
Rfam family: 5.8S ribosomal RNA (bases 208-361)
Source: RNAcentral